AUUAAUUCUUGCCCUCACCAAUGAGUUAGUGAACUGAGAGAAGUAAAUGUGGCGCAGACAAUUUCAUUCCCAUGCUCAGAUUUUCAAAGUAUAAAGAAGCUAUUGCUGUAUGGAAAGGUCAUUUAUAAGAACAAUAACAGAAGAAACGGUGUCUGGGUUGUAAAAUGCUGAGUUAUUGAAUAUGUUUCCUAGUAAAAAAAAAAAA
RNAcentral lists this long non-coding RNA (205 nucleotides) under Canis lupus familiaris (dog). RNAcentral describes it as "lncRNA (ENSCAFG00000054858.1)". Lineage: Eukaryota; Metazoa; Chordata; Mammalia; Carnivora; Canidae. The record is from RNAcentral.